RNAcentral lists this ribosomal RNA (122 nucleotides) under Aureococcus anophagefferens. RNAcentral's name for it is "partial small subunit ribosomal RNA". It matches the Rfam family "Eukaryotic small subunit ribosomal RNA", at positions 1706 to 1827 of the family's 1831-position model. Lineage: Eukaryota; Pelagophyceae; Pelagomonadales; Pelagomonadaceae. The record is from RNAcentral.
ACCUCCGGACUGGGGUUCGCAAGCUUCACGGCGAACGUACCUCGGGAAGUUGGUUAAACCUCAUUAUUUAGAGGAAGGUGAAGUCGUAACAAGGUCUCCGUAGGUGAACCUGCAGAAGGAUC